CUUGCCCACUCCUUCUGGAGGCUCAGGUCGCCCCCGUUCACAUUGUGACUACUGCAAGAAUGAUGGUCAUAUUGAGUCCCAGUGCUACACCAAGCGGAAACACCUGCGCAAGGCGCGAUCAUCAGGGACUGCGUCAUCUCCCCCGCCAGCUUCAGCCAUUGCUUUGACCGAGCAGGAUAUUCUGAGACUUAAGCGUCUGCUCGCGGCUUCAGGUUCUUCCUCGACGGGUACUGCUGGUUCUGUGACUGAUGCUUCCCGCACUGAGCACCCGCCCUCUACACAGUCAGGAUCGUCGCACGCACACUCUGGUUGGGGCUGGCCCUCGCCGCCGUGAUUCUCAGGGUCUUUGGGAGUUGGACUGGCUUCAUGUUCCUUCCGCUGCCACCACCAUCGCCAGUUCCUCCGCUGCUGUCGCUUCUGUUACUGGUUCCUUCAAGCAGUGGCAUCAUCGACUUGGUCAUCUGUGUGGUUCUCGAUUAUCGUCUUUAGUUCGUCGAGGCCUUCUGGGGUCUGUCUCAGGAGAUGUCUCUUUAGAGUGUCAGGGUUGUCGUCUUGGCAAGCAGAUUCAGCUACCAUAUUCUCAUAGUGAGUCAGUGUCUCAGCGUCCUUUCGAUUUAGUCCAUUCUGAUGUAUGGGGUCCGGCUCCUUUCACUUCGAAAGGUGGUCAUAAAUACUAUAUUAUUUUCAUCGAUGAUUUUUCUCGUUACACAUGGCUUUAUUUCA
Non-coding RNA from Aegilops tauschii subsp. strangulata, 723 nucleotides. The record is from RefSeq and is a predicted model, not a curated record. NCBI's taxonomy places the organism in Eukaryota, Viridiplantae, Streptophyta, Magnoliopsida, Poales, Poaceae.